RNAcentral lists this ribosomal RNA (1561 nucleotides) under Bacillus velezensis. Its description in RNAcentral is "bacterial SSU rRNA". It matches the Rfam family "Bacterial small subunit ribosomal RNA". The record is from RNAcentral. Lineage: Bacteria; Bacillati; Bacillota; Bacilli; Caryophanales; Bacillaceae.
UUAUCGGAGAGUUUGAUCCUGGCUCCAGGCGAACGCUGGCGGCGUGCCUAAUACAUGCAAGUCGAGCGGACGAAUCGGGAGCUUGCUCCUGAUGUUGCCCGGCGGACAGGUGAGUAACACGUGGGUAACCUGCCUGUAAGACUGGGAUAACUCCGGGAAACCGGGGCUAAUACCGGAUGGUUUGUUUGAACCGCAUGGUUCAGACAUAAAAGGUGGCUUCGGCUACCACUUACAGAUGGACCCGCGGCGCAUUAGCUAGUUGGUGAGGUAACGGCUCACCCGAGGGCGACGAUGCGUAGCCGACCUGAGAGGGUGAUCGGCCACACUGGGACUGAGACACGGCCCAGACUCCUACGGAGGCGGCAAUGGGAAUCUUCCGCAAUGGACCAGCGUCUGACAGAACAACACCGCGUAAGUGAUAGAAGGUUUUCGGAUCGUAAAGCUCUGUUGUUAGGGAAGAACAAGUGCCGUUCAAAUAGGGCGGCACCUUGACGGUACCUAACCAGAAAGCCACGGCUAACUACGUGCCAGCGGCCGCGGUAAUACGUAGGUGGCAAGCGUUGUCGGAGACCAUUGGGCGUAAAGGGCUCGCAGGCGGUUUCUUAAGUCUGAUGUGUAAGCCCCGGCUCAGCUUGAGAGGUCAUUGGAAACUGGGCAACUUGGCAGGUGCAGAAAAGGAGAGUGGAAUUCCACGUGUAGCGGUGAAAUGCGUAGAGAUGUGGGGGAGACACCAGUGGCGAAGGCGACUCUCUGGUCUGUAACUGACGCUGAGGAGCGUGACAGAAAGAGACGAACAGGAUUAGAUACCCUGGUAGUCCACGCCGUAAACGAUGAAGUGCUAAGUGUUAGGGGGUUUCCGCCCCUUAGUCUUCGCGACUAACGCAUUGCAGCACUCACGCCUGGGAGUACGGUCGCAAGACUGAAACUCAAAGGAAUUGACGGGGGCCCGCACAAGCGGUGGAGCAUGUGGUUUAAUUCGAAGCAACGCGAAGAACCUUACCAGGUCUUGACAUCCUCUGACAAUCCUAGAGAUACGGACGUCCCCUUCGGGGGGCAGGAGUGACAGGUGGUGCAUAGUUGUCGUCAGCUCGUGUCGCGAGAUGUUGGGUUAAGUCCCGCAACGAGCGCAACCCUUGAUCUUAGUUGCCAGCAUUCAGUUGGGCACUCUAAGGUGACUGCCGGUGACAAACCGGAGGAAGGUGGGGAUGACGUCAAAUCAUCAUGCCCCUUAUGACCUGGGCUACACACGUGCUACAAUGGGCAGAACAAAGGGCAACGAAACCGCGAGGUUAAGCCAAUCCCACAAAUCUGUUCUCAGUUCGGAUCGCAGUCUGCAACUCGACUGCGUGAAGCUGGAAUCGCUAGUAAUCGCGGAUCAGCAUGCCGCGGUGAAUACGUUCCCGGGCCUUGUACACACCGCCCGUCACACCACGAGAGUUUGUAACACCCGAAGUCGGUGAGGUAACCUUUUAGGAGCCAGCCGCCGAAGGUGGGACAGAUGAUUGGGGUGAAGUCGUAACAAGGUAGCCGUAUCGGAAGGUGCGGCUGGAUCACCUCCUUU